GAAAACAUUACUGCUCUGGCGGUGGCUUGGCAGAAGCCAGUUCCGGCCUGCGUCCCCUCCUGGCACACCUUGGUGGAAGGCUCACGUGACUCUGGGAGCCACUCGGUGCAAGAACUGCCGUGGCCUGCAAUGGUUUGAGAAGGGCAUGUGCUCCAGGCCUGGCCACUCAGUGUAUUUCAUUCCUCCAGAUUUUGAAAUGGAUUCAUGAUAUCAUGUUA
Molecule: long non-coding RNA, 218 nt
Organism: Suricata suricatta (meerkat)
Lineage: Eukaryota; Metazoa; Chordata; Mammalia; Carnivora; Herpestidae
Exons: 2
Source: RefSeq, a predicted model, not a curated record